This is a small nucleolar RNA of Ictidomys tridecemlineatus (thirteen-lined ground squirrel), 67 nucleotides long. The record is from Ensembl. Lineage: Eukaryota; Metazoa; Chordata; Mammalia; Rodentia; Sciuridae.
AUGAUAUGAUUGUUGCAUAGUUCAUCAGAUUAAAUCAUGAAGACAUUUUUCAUUAUCUGCUGUAUCU